RNAcentral lists this ribosomal RNA (662 nucleotides) under uncultured bacterium. Its description in RNAcentral is "bacterial SSU rRNA". It matches the Rfam family "Bacterial small subunit ribosomal RNA", at positions 188 to 848 of the family's 1533-position model. The record is from RNAcentral.
GCAUGGAGAGCCCAUUAAAGAGAGCAAUUUUGGUUACAGACGAGCAUGCGCUCCAUUAGCCAGUUGGCGGGGUAACGGCCCACCAAGGCGACGAUGGAUAGGGGCUCUGAGAGGAAGGUCCCCCACAUUGGAACUGAGACACGGUCCAAACUCCUACGGGAGGCAGCAGUGAGGAAUAUUGGUCAAUGGUCGGCAGACUGAACCAGCCAAGUCGCGUGAGGGAAGACGGCCCUACGGGUUGUAAACCUCUUUUGUCGGAGAGUAAAGUACGCUACGCGUAGCGUAUUGCAAGUAUCCGAAGAAAAAGCAUCGGCUAACUCCGUGCCAGCAGCCGCGGUAAUACGGAGGAUGCGAGCGUUAUCCGGAUUUAUUGGGUUUAAAGGGUGCGUAGGCGGCACGCCAAGUCAGCGGUGAAAUUUCCGGGCUCAACCCGGAGUGUGCCGUUGAAACUGGCGAGCUAGAGUGCACAAGAGGCAGGCGGAAUGCGUGGUGUAGCGGUGAAAUGCAUAGAUAUCACGCAGAACCCCGAUUGCGAAGGCAGCCUGCUAGGGUGCGACAGACGCUGAGGCACGAAAGCGUGGGUAUCGAACAGGAUUAGAUACCCUGGUAGUCCACGCAGUAAACGAUGAAUACUAACUGUUUGCGAUACAAUGUAAGCGGUA